This is a long non-coding RNA of Gallus gallus (chicken), 5640 nucleotides long. RefSeq lists it as uncharacterized. The record is from RefSeq and is a predicted model, not a curated record. Lineage: Eukaryota; Metazoa; Chordata; Aves; Galliformes; Phasianidae. The transcript has 4 exons.
GCCCUCCCGCUGGGGACAGGGCUGCGGCCCAGGUUGUGGUUUGCGCUAGGGGCCCUCCGAAUGUUGUCGGCGGCUGCGGUCAGGCGGGGUCGGGCCGCGGGGGUGCGGGCGGUGCUCGCGGAAGCGAUGUGUCCGCCGCUCGGGCACUGAAGCAAGGCUGUCCGUCUCGGUGGGAAUUGCCCGCCCUGGGGGUCCCGCAGUGCCCCGGCUGUUAUUUUAGGCAGUGUUUGUGUUGCAAUAUGGAGGUGCUGGCAAGCGAGAGUGGUGGAAUAUUAAACUGUUGGGACUUCAGUGUAAAACUCGUAAUUGGCAGAGCAUAAGGCAACAAAUCUGAAAGGAAAGGAAGAAAGGGUUGUUGUUUGAACCCGCAGAAACACAAGUGAAGCCCCUCUGAUGGCUCUUGAUCAGAUCAAGCUGAUGGGCAGCCUGGGAGCCACGCGUGCUGGGGCAGAGACCAGGGCAUGUGACUUCACUGGCUCUUCCCUUCUGCUUUGUUUCUGUCCGGACAGGUGCCGGCCUUGGUGUGGCCAGUUCCAGCCUGGGAACGCUGCUGCUGCUGGCUGGAGGUUUCUGUACGCUUGCUGUAGAGCACAGUUUUGUUCCUGAUCUGAUGCCAGGCACAUGAGAGGAGCAUCUCACUCACACCCAGGUGUGCUGCAGCAGUUGCAAUUACACUAGUCAGAGAAGCACUUCAAAGAAAGUCCUUCUCCCUCCCCCCCCCCGCCCUCCCCACACACACAAUUUAAUGUGUGAAAACUCUUUGCUUUUUUCUUGCCUCUGGACCUGAUUUAGUAAGAAUCAGGUAUUUCACCACGUAAUGACUAGCGGUCAUAGAGAUAGCACCUAGUAGUGUCUCCUGAAAAGCAGUUUGUGACACUGAGAGUUGGGGCAGAAGUGAGGUAUUAAACUAUUUGCGUGUGGACUUAGUGAGGGAGCAGACAGGCUUUGGUUUUUAACAGGGUGUUUGCCUCUAGAAGUAGAACAACUGUAGGAGCUAUGCGAGGCUCCUCUGUAAACUCUUGUAAAGACAGCAUUUCUGAUUGCUUUCCCUUACAAACAUGGAGUAAAAUGCAGGGCUUGUGAACUGUUGCACAACAGAGAAAAGGCAGAAAUCACAUGAUAGGUGUUUCUCCCUUUUUUGAUGUCUUAAGACACAAAAUGUGUCACAACAUACAAGGACAAACAAAACAUAUUUCCUUAACCAGAUUAUCAUGGGAACAGUGUUUGGCUGGAGGAAACUUCACUAAGCCACAUACACAUUGAGAAGCUGAAGAGGUUGUCUUGUGAUUUCAAAGUACUCAUUACACACGCACACAGAGAGAGAGAGAGAGAGAGCCGCGAAGUGUAGAUACACCAACAGUAAUAAACUUACCUUGCAAAACCUGUGAGAAAACAAGACAUUUUAAAGCUGAGCUGCUUACUUAAGUCAGAGGCUGUAUACAAACACUCACGGCUGUCAGGAUGGCUUUAUGCAUGCAGGCAUGCCACUUUGAGUACGAAAACAUGAGGUCUUUGUGAAAGAAAUAUAGAAAGGAUUUCCUCUGAGUUGGAAUGCAGCAAAUGCAUACUGAAGACAUCAUGAUUUUUAGUAAUUACUUUCUCAUCAUUUUCAAUAGUUGCUUUGCAAAGAUGUAUUAUCAAAUUUCAGGAGGUCUCUAUGACUAAGAGUUCUGAAGUUUAUGUUUUGCCCUAAAUUUCUGUGGUUUGUUACAGCUAGUAGCAAGCUGACCAUAUAGCCACCAUAGAAGCAAUUUUUUUGAAGGAAGAAAAAUAGAUGACAUAAACUGCAACAGUGUGCAUUUGCUCAAAAUAUAUUAAGUAUAUAGACAUUCAAAAACCUCAAUAUCCUUGUGCUUUCUAUUCAACUAAACAUUUACUGUUUGUAUUUUUAAUUGCCAAACAGCAGUUGUUAUUGUUAUCAAAGACCGGCCUUUCCUAGGGAAAAUGUUCUAUUUCCUUAUUUGUAAGGAGAAUUUAAAAUAUAUACACUGAGUAAGAAUAUGCAUUUGUAUUUUUCCAAAUUGAAACUUUGCUACAUAACUAAUUUAUGUGCAAAUGAUUCAUGAUAGUGAGAUGAUUUCAUAGUUUGUGUAACUUAUGGGGUUUUGUGGGGUUUUGGGGAUGGGAGGAUCAUAGUGAGUUGUGGAAUUUGAGAAGUUUUUACUUCACAGCUCUUUGCUGAUAUGUCCUGUGCAGUGAGACCUUUUCAGUCCUAUGUCUUUGUUUCUGCAACUGCAUCUGAUACCAACUGAGCAUUGAAAAGCUAUGUAUAAGUUUCCACUGUGUUCAACUGUGGACAAGGACUGCUUUUUUAGAAGGGCAAGAUGUUUAGCUGGCACAACAGGAGGUAAGUCAGAAUUACAGACAGUCUUGCACCAUGAAUCACCUGUGUGCUGUGAUGCGCACUGGGAUACACCAAGACAAACCAAAGCUUACCUAGAUAACACUACGUCCUGCCUCAGGGAGGUUACCAUGUCACCAGCCAGUAUGGGAUCACGAAGUGUAUAUCUACUGUACUCCCUCUUUUUGUGAGUACUCUUAGUGCAUGUUCACAACACACAAAAAUGCCAGAUGCCAUUUUCACUCAGAAGCUAAGCUCACAUUACAGGUUUCUUUAACUACCUUAUAGAGCAAAUAACAUCAGAGAGUUUCUGGAAAUUCUUGAACGUAACAGAAAUGCUUUCACCUUCAGCACACUAGAUUUCAACUUGCUCUGAAUCAUUACUUCUAUGUGGACAUAUCAGUUUCCCAGGUAUUUUUGUAGGUUGUUCAGCUACUUUCUCCAAUUUUUUUUUCUUCAAAAACUAGAUUCCUUUCUGCUUCUCUCAACUCUGCCCUUAACUUCAUUGCUGUACAUAGGUGAAAAUACUCUCUCUUCGCUUUCAGUACUGACCAAGUCAUCCUGCCUAAACCAUUUAUUGAACCCAGCCACACAGUUACUCCACUGUGGCUUCUCACUAGAUGAAUCUUGAGGUCCCAAGUCUGUCUCUUUGCCCUCGAUGAGAAGCAAACACACAGGAAGCCUGGAAGCCCAGGUGCAGAAAGCAGAUGGAAGGGAAAUCAGCCUGGCAAUGGCUAUGAUCACAACUUGGCCAUCAAAAGAAUGCCAUUUAGAAACCUGUGAUGGGAAGCUGGCCUAGGACUCCUGUGUCUCUGGCUCCUGUGCAAAUAACUCCUGUUCGAGAGUUGUCAAUGUGAAGACCACCAGCCACACUGCAGAGGCUGUUGACAGCCUAAAUCAAGCUAAAUAUGCCUUAUUAUACAGCUAAUAUAUAGUUUUAUUUCCAGUGCUGCUCCUAGGCCAUAGACAGAGCUGUCACAGCACUGUUCCUGUUGCUCCCUUCUAUACACCAAGAUGUGUUCACACACCAAACUGCAGUGCAGAUGUGUUCUGGUCAAGUGAACAUUGGGCCAGUAGAAGUGCUUAGAGAUAAUGAGUGGGCAGAUAUAGCUAGAGAUCUUUUUUCAUCAAAUGCUUCUACCUUUUGAUGUCCAACUGCAGUCACACCAGCCACAGCAGUCUUUGUUCUUUUGAGAACACCCCUGCGGGGACUAGUAUCUUCUGCACAAAGUGCUCCUUUCACACUGGCAGAAAGGGUGAAAGCCAGAACCUCCUUCAGCCUCAGACAAAGCCAAGCAAUGCCAGUCUAUAGAUAGCUGUGUUAUUCACAGUAGUCACAGUACUUUCUUCAGUAACAUAGAAAUCAAAACUCUGAAGGAUGACAACCCCUGUUGCCUAUUAAUUUAUCUCUCUCUUUUCUGGAAGGUAACUUUCCAAAUUAUUUCAAGAAUAACAGCUUUUGAGGAACUCUAUGUAUGCAAAAUUCCAACUAUUUCAGCAAAGACCUGUCAUUCUUCUAAGAGUCAAGAACAACACCUUAACUGGUCACGUUCCCGUUGCGACAGCUCCAAAACUGCUUUCAGCUUCCACAAGUCACCAGAUGACAGAAGCUGUGUAUUUCUCAAUAGGCACAAGAACUUGCAUAGUGGUGUGCUGACUUUAUAGUUGAAGGUUUGAACUCAGCACUAAUCUCCAGGGAAACUUCAACAUGAAAUUCAUCUGCCACUGCACAUCCCAGGCAUGAAGCACAGCCCUCACCAUUUGUUACUUUGGUUAUUUGAAAUCAGAAUUUCUGAAAUUUGUUUUCUUCUUUGACGUCCAUUUUUGUCUUCAUUAUGUUGGUGCAAAUGCAAAGAGGAAUGGGCUUACCUGUGUCUGCUGGAAAAAGAUCAAAAAAGCAAAACUCUUCUGCAAAGGUAGCUGACUUGCAAAGCUGCAGCAGGUUGACAAUGUGUCUGAAACAUCUAUUCAACGUGAAAAUAUAAGCUAUGUCAUGCUUCUCUGUGGCAAGGAUGUGCACUAAAGAAGGUCCAUGGACCAGCUAUCUCAAGACAGGGCAUUCCUCACCAAAGAACUCAGGUGACUUUGGAGUUUAUAAUGAUCCUUCAACAUUAAAAACAUUUUCAGCUAAGAGGAAAAAGAAGCAAGUUCACGUGCUUUUUGGGUAAGAACAAAGGUGACUCACAAUUGCUUCUAUUCCCCCAUGACAAAUGGGAAGACUGAGGGGAAAAAUGAAGCAGUGCUACUGUUGGUGGCAGUGAAGUAAAAUGAAUGACCCAUAGAUUUUUCACUGAAGGCUCUUCACAGAGGCACGCUGAGCAGAUUGGCCAGGAGAAGAGAUCUCCAACUUGCUCUGAAAGUGAGAAGAAACCAAGAGAGAGCCUUCUCUGAGUGGAAGCCAGGCAGAGAGCUCUCACAAGACAGUGCUUGGCAGAUGCAAUCAAUCACCAUUCCAGCAUGUGCAGCUCCGGACUACAUGGCACAACUUCCACUUGCCCAAUGGGGAUGGGAAGACAUAUAGGAAACAAAGGAUUAUGAUAUUCUAGGUAGGAACGGAGACAAAAGAGAGGCCCAAAGAUGAUGAGAACUGUUCAGAUCUGCCCUGCCAUCUCUCAUUAUACAGAAUCAUGUUCUUCUUUCAUCCAUGUUGUCCAGCAGACUUCAUAGCUGGUUUUCUCAAUUACUUGUACAAGACUCUGUCUAUAGCUACAUAUUACCACUACUGCAGACAGACUUCUAGCUAGGAAGAACAAGAAAGACAUAAUCCAACUGGAACAUCUUCUAUAAAGAAACCAGAAUAUAUUGGCUAGGAAGAGCAAUCCUUUCCUGUGCAAGCAGGUAGUCUGUGGGGAGGAAAAGGCAGCCUGAGUUAUGCUUUUGUGUUUGUCUGGUUUUGACUACUUGAAGUCUUCUGGGGUAUGUGAAAUCACUGUAAAGACUGAGCACCCUGUGACUGCCAGGUAUGAUGUGACAAUUACUUCCCAUCAGUAGCAGAAACCGAUUGAGAUAAUGAUAUCAGUUGCUUUUUUUUAAAAAAUCAAACAUCUUUGAAGAGUAGUUAGACUGAAAUGAUCAACACAGAAGUGCAACAUAUUGGAUGAGGAAUGCCUUAUUUAAUAUAGGUUUUAAAAACAGGGCACUUUCUGUAGAUGCCACUUCUAAAACAUUUGACAAGAACCUUCAGCCGUUCCAGCUCUGAAGGGAGUGACAAGCCAUGCCCUGUAAGGUUAUCCACAGAGGUAAUUUCCUGUAAUUCUGCAAGCUCACUCAAAUCAAUAAACCAUAUAUAUGUAUUUAAA